GCCCGUUUAGCUCAGUAGGUAGAGCGUUCGUCUCAUAGCACAACGUUUGAAGAGAAAGCGAAAGGCCGUCAGUUCGAUCCUGACAGUGGGCA
RNAcentral lists this transfer RNA (92 nucleotides) under Fragilariopsis cylindrus CCMP1102. It matches the Rfam family "tRNA". Rfam says of the family: Transfer RNA (tRNA) molecules are approximately 80 nucleotides in length. Their secondary structure includes four short double-helical elements and three loops (D, anti-codon, and T loops). Lineage: Eukaryota; Bacillariophyta; Bacillariophyceae; Bacillariales; Bacillariaceae. The record is from Rfam by way of RNAcentral.